Antechinus flavipes (yellow-footed antechinus) is the source of this 141-nucleotide non-coding RNA. RefSeq annotates it as small Cajal body-specific RNA 3. Lineage: Eukaryota; Metazoa; Chordata; Mammalia; Dasyuromorphia; Dasyuridae. The record is from RefSeq and is a predicted model, not a curated record. The transcript has a single exon.
GAUGGAAGCUGCAGGGACCAUCCAUGUGGACAAAUGAAAUACUUUUUGUUUACAACAUGCAGCCUUCCUAUAAAAAAAAAGUGGAGGUCUCUGUCUGGUUUAGGACAGCUGGCUAAGCUUGAUCGUUCCCCUCCAUACAAU